AACGAACGCUGGCGGCAUGCCUAACACAUGCAAGUCGAACGAGACCGUCGGGUCUAGUGGCGCACGGGUGCGUAACGCGGGGGAACCUGCCCUUAGGUUCGGAAUAACUCCCCGAAAGGGGUGCUAAUACCGGAGAAUGUCUUCGGACCAAAGAUUUAUCGCCUUUGGAUGGGCCCGCGUUGGAUUAGCUAGUUGGUAGGGUAAAAGCCUACCAAGGCGACGAUCCAUAGCUGGUCUGAGAGGAUGCUCAGCCACACUGGGACUGAGACACGGCCCAGACUCCUACGGGAGGCAGCAGUGGGGAAUAUUGGACAAUGGGCGAAAGCCUGAUCCAGCAAUGCCGCGUGAGUGAUGAAGGCCUUAGGGUUGUAAAGCUCUUUUACCCGGGAUGAUAAUGACAGUACCGGGAGAAUAAGCACCGGCUAACUCCGUG
Molecule: ribosomal RNA, 433 nt
Filed under: uncultured bacterium
Lineage: Bacteria
Description: partial 16S ribosomal RNA
Rfam family: Bacterial small subunit ribosomal RNA
Source: RNAcentral